GAAGCCACCGGACGGUGAAGUUAACCACUCUAACGACAAGUAUGAAUUUAAUUUGCUAGAUGGCUCCACUAUACAGCGGCUUCUGGAAAAUCCUGAUGACGUCAUAAAGUGGGUGUGGUAUCAAUGCACAGCAGUGACAGCGCAGAUGGAGUAGUUACUAUUACGACGUGGAAGACAUUUGAGAAUCUACCUGAACAAUGAGUGAUGACUGUGGUGGCGGCGGCGGCGAUGGAGGUGGCGGUGGCGAUGGAGGUGGCGGAUGUGAUAGCUCAUAUCACUGUGACUCCAGCCACAAUGAUUCUAGUCACCAUGACUCCAGCCACAACGAUUCUAGUCACCAUGACUCCUGUCACAAUGAUUUCAGUCACCGUGACUCCAGCAAACACGAUUCCAGCCACCGUGAUUCCAGCGACUACGGCUUCAACCAUGACUACUCAUCACAUGACACUGGAGGAGAUGAUGGUGGCGACAGUGGCUCAAAAACAAAGGAGAAAAGGCGGAAGAGAGAAGUACUCCACCAAGAACAGGAUUGUUGCGUUGUCCUAUGAAGUUGUCUGUACUGUGUGUCAUCUCAUAAUCACGAUCAAGAAAUAACAAGUUCUUUGCUGAAAAUACAGCUUUUGCCAGUAAUGCAAUGCUUGAAGCAUUCACCUAACCUAACCUAAUAUUAAGAGGACAAAAUCUACUUCUGUUCACAACUACCCUGCAGAUGUGAGGUAGAAAGAGUACCAUACUUGUCAUGUGGUCAUGGAAAUGCAAAAACACAAAUUUCAGUGUAAUAAUUCUGUAAAAAUAGUAAGUUCUUGUGUAAUAUAAUGUUUUGAACAUGCUUAUCAUACUAGAGCAGCACAUGUGCCAACUAAAUGUUGAGAAUAUCCCUUGAUAUCUUGCAAUAUUUAUAAGCACUACAUUUUCACAUGAACCACAAACAAAAUGUAGCUACAAGAAUCACCGCUACAUAGUCUAACCCAGUGGUAUUCAACCUUUUUUGUUCGCGUACCAACAAAGUUGUUGGUGUAUAAUUCACGUUAUACAUAGUAUAUAAUCUACAUCUAAAAUAAAUUAAAAAAAUUACAUCCAAAAUAAUGUAUUAAAUAAUAAGUUUUAAAUGAGAAAAAGGAGAAUCAAGCUAUUAAAUAACAAAUAUAUUAUUGCCAAUGAUAUAAAAAUUAAUAAAGGAACAAAGGUAUUUUAGCAAAGCAAAAUUAUGUGUUUAAAUCCUGCCUAUUCAGUCAGGUUCCAAAGCACUAUGUGGAAUAAAAUGAAACGAGCCGCCCAGAUAAUCACAAAGGAGAGCGAGAGAGAGAGAAAAUUGCGCUCUCCCAAAUCGAAUGUCCUUACGUCCGGUUCUCCUGUGGCUAACCCUAAAUCUGGCCCUGAUUAUUCAGUGUUUAUCGUAAAAUAAUAUUAUUUUUUUAAAAAUUUCAUGUACCCCAGGUUGAAUACCACUGGUCUAACCCAUCCAGUAUGGAUACAGACUUGGUGCACGUGCACAAAUCGUGUUCCCACAAUCUACUAUGACAGAACUGCUGACAAUGAUUGAAUUCCUUGCGAAGAAAAACUAAACUGUAAAAAGUCUACGAGUGACUUCAUUCUACAGAGAUGCAUACAUGUGCACCGGCAGUUUCAGAAUGUAGGUGAAGCACUUUAAAGACAGAAACAUUGACAUCGCCAGUCAGCCGAGCUGUGAUUCACCAAGAAGUGUCGUAACUGCUUGCAACAAGCACAAAUUUCAUGUGUUCAUCAGAUACGACCAAAAGGUGACAGGAAAACUGUACAGCAGCCUGGCAUAGGACACUUUUGCCAUUUUGCAAUGCGGGAGGUGACUCCAAUUUCGGAACAUCAGGAAGUCUGUUUCCAUCAGGUUACCUGCUUGCUUACCGAGUAACAACGGAAGACAUGCAUCCUAUGUCAUCACAGUUGAAUGCUGCCAAGUGUAACGACUUGUUCAUCAACGUCAUAUCUGGUGAUGAUACUUCAUUCCACCAUUUUGAACCACAAACAAAAUUAGAGCUUACUCAUCGCCCUGAUGAUAGAAACAGCAAGCACCUCUGAAACAUCGGUAAACUUCUACCAGACUGUGUGGUGCAACCACCCAGAUGACAUCUGUCUCCUUACUUACUGCCAUGAGAAAGAAGUCUCACAAAAUUAAAGGACAUGAACUGGCUUCGUACGACAUCUCCAAAAGACGAACAGUAACCUCAACUGGCAUAGAUUGUGGAGUACCGUGUGACAGACAAAUGACCUUAUAAUGUGCAUCUGACAUGGGAGAAGAUCAUGACCUCUGGUAUGACCUUUUUAAUAUCAUGCAUCCUGCAAAAGGUUUGUUCAGAAUUAAAAAAAAAAAAAACGCAUCCACUCACUGGGCUUUCAUUACGAGUUUUAUUCAACAUG
Molecule: non-coding RNA, 2394 nt
Organism: Zootermopsis nevadensis
Lineage: Eukaryota; Metazoa; Arthropoda; Insecta; Blattodea; Termopsidae
Source: RefSeq, a predicted model, not a curated record